Molecule: RNase P RNA, 363 nt
Filed under: Deltaproteobacteria bacterium
Lineage: Bacteria; Pseudomonadati; Myxococcota; Myxococcia
Description: RNase P RNA component class A
Rfam family: Bacterial RNase P class A
About the family: Ribonuclease P (RNase P) is a ubiquitous endoribonuclease, found in archaea, bacteria and eukarya as well as chloroplasts and mitochondria. Its best characterised activity is the generation of mature 5'-ends of tRNAs by cleaving the 5'-leader elements of precursor-tRNAs. Cellular RNase Ps are ribonucleoproteins.
Source: RNAcentral
CAAGCCGGACAGGCGGCCGCGGGCGGCAACGUCCGAGGAAAGUCCGGGCUCCACAGGGCAGGGAGCUGGCUAACGGCCAGGGGGAGUGAUCCCACGGAUAGCGCAACAGAAAACAUACCGCCUCCGGGGUUUCGGCCUCGGCGGUAAGGGUGAAAUGGCGGGGUAAGAGCCCACCGCGUCUCGGGCGACCGAGACGGCACGGCAAGCCCCUCCCGGAGCAAGACCGCAUAGGGCAGCGUUUGAGGGCGGCCCGCCCGAUGCUGCCGGGUAGGUCGCUGGAGGCGCGGAGUAAUCCGCGUCCUAGAGGAAUGGUCGCCGCCGUCGAAAGACGGAACAGAACCCGGCUUAUGGCCGGCUUGACGC